AGCGAACGCUGGCGGCAGGCUUAACACAUACAAGUCGAACGCAUCCUUCGGGGUGAGUGGCGGACGGGUGAGUAACACGUGGGAACGUACCCUUCGAUCUGGGAUAACUUCGGGAAACUGGAGCUAAUACCGGAUACGACCUUUUGGGGUAAGGUUUACUGUCGAAGGAGCGGCCCGCCACUGAUUAGCUAGUGGGUGUGGUAACGGCCUAUGAAGGCGACGGUCAGUAGCGGGGUUGAGAGGCUGAGCGGCCACACUGGGACGGUGACACGGCGCAGAAUCUUACGCGAGGGAGCAGUGCGGAAUAUAGGACAACGGCGUCAGGCCUGAUGCAGCCCUGCUGGUAGAGCGAUGAUGGCCGUAGGGUAGUAAAGCUCGCUUGUCCGGGACGAUAAUGACGGUACCGGAAGAAUAAGCCCCGGCUAACUUCGUG
This 433-nucleotide ribosomal RNA is filed under the name uncultured bacterium. RNAcentral's name for it is "partial 16S ribosomal RNA". It matches the Rfam family "Bacterial small subunit ribosomal RNA", at positions 29 to 507 of the family's 1533-position model. The record is from RNAcentral.